CCGAGUUAGGGUCUUCUCAGGCCCGACCUCCCAACCCUAUGUUUACUAAAUCUAUGUUGCUUCGGCGGGCCCGUCUCACGGCCGCCGGAGGACCGUAAGACGUCCUCUGGCCCGCGCCCGCCGGUGGCCAAACUGACAAACUCUGAUAGAAACGUGUCACUGUCUGAGUACGAUUCUCAAUUAAAACA
RNAcentral lists this unclassified non-coding RNA (188 nucleotides) under uncultured Cladophialophora. Its description in RNAcentral is "sequence contains ITS1". The record is from RNAcentral. Lineage: Eukaryota; Fungi; Ascomycota; Eurotiomycetes; Chaetothyriales; Herpotrichiellaceae.